Molecule: small nuclear RNA, 164 nt
Filed under: Bombyx mandarina (wild silkworm)
Lineage: Eukaryota; Metazoa; Arthropoda; Insecta; Lepidoptera; Bombycidae
Description: U1 spliceosomal RNA
Source: RNAcentral
AUACUUACCUGGCGUAGAAGGAUACCGUGAUCAUGCAGGCGGUUCCCCCAGGACGAGGCUGCUCCAUUGCACUGCGGAGUGGUUGACCCUUGCAAUUAUUUUUAUUUUUAUCAAUUAAAAAAAUCAUAAUAAAAAAUGUAUGCCCGAAUACUUAUUUUCUUUAU